UACGAAGGGGGCUAGCGUUGCUCGGAAUUACUGGGCGUAAAGCGCACGUAGGCGGCUUUCUAAGUCGGGGUGAAAUCCUGGAGCUCAACUCCAGAACUGCCUUCGAUACUGGAGAGCUUGAGUCCGGGAGAGGUGAGUGGAACUGCGAGUGUAGAGGUGAAAUCGUAGAUAUUCGCAAGAACACCAGUGGCGAAGGCGACUUACUGGACACAUAUUGACGCUGAGGUGCGAAAGCGUGGGAGCAACAGG
This 249-nucleotide ribosomal RNA is filed under the name uncultured bacterium. RNAcentral describes it as "partial 16S ribosomal RNA". It matches the Rfam family "Bacterial small subunit ribosomal RNA", at positions 524 to 776 of the family's 1533-position model. The record is from RNAcentral.